RNAcentral lists this unclassified non-coding RNA (215 nucleotides) under Hevea brasiliensis (rubber tree). The record is from RNAcentral. Lineage: Eukaryota; Viridiplantae; Streptophyta; Magnoliopsida; Malpighiales; Euphorbiaceae.
GUUGGCUAUAUGAAGCAUUGCUGGCUAUUUUUCUCCAUUUUGAAUUCAUCUAAGGACAAACUUAUGCAAAGUGAAUUGAAAGCACUAGAAGUUCUUUUCAUUUUCUCUAGCGUUAUUUGAAGACACCUUUUCCCUGAUUUAGUGCCUGACUUUGGACUGUCAGUGUAAUUGCUUCUCCAUGUGCUAAUAUCGUACUUCACACUAGCUUUUACAGA